RNAcentral lists this ribosomal RNA (912 nucleotides) under uncultured Mycoplasma sp. RNAcentral's name for it is "bacterial SSU rRNA". It matches the Rfam family "Bacterial small subunit ribosomal RNA", at positions 93 to 1000 of the family's 1533-position model. The record is from RNAcentral. Lineage: Bacteria; Bacillati; Mycoplasmatota; Mollicutes; Mycoplasmatales; Mycoplasmataceae.
UAGCGGCGAAUGGGUGAGUAACACGUGCUUAAUCUACCCUUCAGAUUGGAAUACCCAAUGGAAACAUUGGCUAAUGCCGGAUACGCAUGGAAUCGCAUGAUUCCGUUGUGAAAGGGGCCUCAAAGCCCCACUGAAGGAUGAGGGUGCGGAACAUUAGUUAGUUGGUAGGGUAAUGGCCUACCAAGACUAUGAUGUUUAGCCGGGUCGAGAGACUGAACGGCCACAUUGGGACUGAGAUACGGCCCAAACUCCUACGGGAGGCAGCAGUAGGGAAUAUUCCACAAUGAGCGAAAGCUUGAUGGAGCGACACAGCGUGCACGAUGAAGGUCUUCGGAUUGUAAAGUGCUGUUAUAAGGGAAGAACACUCAGAGGAGGAAAUGCCUUUGAGCUGACGGUACCUUGUCAGAAAGCGAUGGCUAACUAUGUGCCAGCAGCCGCGGUAAUACAUAGGUCGCAAGCGUUAUCCGGAAUUAUUGGGCGUAAAGCGUUCGUAGGCUGUUUAUUAAGUCUGGAGUCAAAUCCCGGGGCUCAACCCCGGCUCGCUUUGGAUACUGAUAAACUAGAGUUGGAUAGAGGUAAGCGGAAUUCCAUGUGAAGCGGUGAAAUGCGUAGAUAUAUGGAAGAACACCAAAGGCGAAGGCAGCUUACUGGGUCUAUACUGACGCUGAGGGACGAAAGCGUGGGGAGCAAACAGGAUUAGAUACCCUGGUAGUCCACGCCGUAAACGAUGAUCAUUAGUCGGUGGAGAGUUCACUGACGCAGCUAACGCAUUAAAUGAUCCGCCUGAGUAGUAUGCUCGCAAGAGUGAAACUUAAAGGAAUUGACGGGGACCCGCACAAGCGGUGGAGCAUGUGGUUUAAUUUGAAGAUACACGGAGAACCUUACCCACUCUUGACAUCUUCCGCAAAGCUG